UUUCAGUUAUAGACUUGUUUCUUUAAACAGAACGUUAUAGGGAAAUAGAGGAUGUAGAACAGAGCAAAGCAAACCUACUGGGGCCACAAGCUACCGCGGUCACAGUACGUGACUGGGAUCCUCGCCCAGGUUUCAGAAAGCACCAUAUGAAAACCCCUGGGCCGAGUCAGCCCCCCUGGGGAAACUGAGGCAUGGAGCAGCGCUCUGGUCAGUCUGGUACCACACUGAAUCCCCAGCACCUCCCCGGGCUCUGGCACGUACUAGGUGCUCAGUGAGUAUUGGCCGGAUAGUAACACACGGGAGAUACUGACCGCCUCUGCUUGGUCAUCUGUUUUACUACACAGGCGACUGCUUUUUAAAGAGACUACAGGGGGGGCUGCAACCACAGAGAGGCCCCUAAUUGCCUGUGUUUUGAACUUAUAGCAGUUGAAAGGGUUUUAUUCUCUGAUCUAAAUGGCAAGAACAAAAGCAGAGCAUAAAAGGGCCGAAGAGGAUGAAAAGAAACCACAAAUGGUAUCCAAGAUGGCGGUGCCCUUUGUUGUCAGGCACCCAAGCUACUCCAGAGUUCUCGGCCCCACAGAUGCAUAUCCAUCACCAUGGCAACAACCAAGCGCCCGGGGCCUCCCGACCCAGGACAUCCCAGGGCUGGCCACACUGCCUGGCUUCCAGGGAGCUGGAUCAGGGUCACAGGGGCUACGGCUGAUGCGCUGGGAGGGGACCUGAUGCCCAGUGGAGACGGGACUGGACCUCUGUCUGGAGAAGAUGUUGGAAAAGUCAGCAGCUGUGGCCCAGGUCAGAGCAAUGCAUCCAGCAGCCCACAGACUAGUGUCGUAGGAGUCACUCCUCCUGCCCACCCCCCAUCCAAGCAGCAGCUACUCUUUCAGUGACAAGGCAAGACACUCAAACCCCAGAGGUAAGCAGGACCACAGGGGCUGUCCUGACCAAUCCUCUCCUCCAAGGGACCCAGAAGGAGGCUUCCAGUUGUCUGAGUCACUGAGCAGAGCAGGGUAACAGCCAGAACUAGCAUUCAGCGAGGUCUCAUGACUCCCAGACCUCUGUCCCCAGUGGCCCAUCCGGAGACCCUCCCCAAGCCUCUUCCUGUCCCAGGUGGCCUGGCCCUGGCCCUCCCCGCUUGGGACAAUAGUUCUCAACCCCACCAGAUGAGAAUUACCUGAAUGUGGUGUGAGAAACACAAAGCAAACUACAGCCGGGCAACACAGCUGUUCCUGGGCACCACUCACAGAGCCUCCGACCUAGUGGAGACAGAACAUCUGCGCAUCAUAGAAGCUUCCAGAUGUCUUUCUCACAAGCUUCAGACAGUCUGUUUUCCGGAGGGAGGCUGGUAGAUCGGGAAAGAAGUGUCCAAGGUGAAGGGGCCCUCAUGGUGGAAUUAUUAACACCUGUUAAGUGGCCAGGACUCAAGUGCUAACAUUUCAGGCCCUGACAUCAGCUUGGCAGGACGUGUGCUUUGAGGAGCUGGGGACAGCGGUCCUUGGUGGCCCCCACUCUGGGGGUCAUGGCCAGGACAGGAGUCCAAAGCGCCCUCUCUAGACAGCUGCUCCGAGGAUGAAGAUCCAAGAUGCUCCCUCUCCAGACGUCCGCGGCGGGGGGACAGAGGUCUGAGGAGCCUCCUCCUUGGGAACCGCGGUGAGGACAGAAGUCCGAGGCACCCGAUCUCAGAGGGCCACGGCAGAAGACAGGGGCCCAGGCUCCCUUUCGUGGGGGGACCACCCCUGCAGACAAUCCCUCCCGGAGGCCUCUUCCUCCCAGGCAUGGAGCGGCGGGCGCGCCACCUGCUGGCCUCCGAGCGCGGGGCCCGCGCGGUCUGGUGGCGCCACCUGCUGGCCACUCUGGGGAGCGCGGGCUGGCUGGCCGGCCGACCCCGGGGGCAGCCUCGCAGGCAGACGCCGCGCUAAUGUCUGGGAGAGAACUUCAUUUUCUUCUGUUUAAAACAAAAAUUGGUGGGGGGCAGGGGAGAGCAGGGCUAACGCCACCCUGGGCUGGGCUGGGGGACAACUGGACAGGACCACCUCUCAGCUGCACGGUCAGCGCCUCCCACCAAAGGCUUUGGUCCAGGUGCCCGGAGGUGGGAGACAGGCUGUGAGCUGGGCCAGAGAGGUUCUGCCCCCUGAGUGCGAGACGCAGGAGGUGCUCACCGAAGUACCCCCUUCUGCCUCCUGUCCAGAAGCUUCGAGGCACCUUCCAGGCCCUCUAAUUCCCCAGGCAGACUCUAGCCCAGCUGAGACCCCUCAGCCCUCUCUGGAGCCCCGUGCUGCCGGGGAGUUUGAUCACGAUCCCCCAGGUGAGGCCCCGCCAGGCGGGAAGCAGCCGCCUCUGAUCACAACAGACACCCUGCGCGUGGAGAAGACAGAGUGUUAGCUCUUUGGGGGACAAGGUCCCUUCCAGUCUGCAGGAGGCCUUCCUGACCAGGGGGCCUGCCCCUUCAGUACCCUUUCCCCUUUCCGGGAGACCUUAUGCCUUCCCCCAGGUGGCUGUCCCCACAGACUAUCAGGGAGGCUGUGAAUACAGUAGUUAGAGGCGUGGUUUCCCACCUUGAGAAUCAAACACUCUGAGUCAAACAUCAGAAGCAUCUGGAGGCCUUGUUAAAACACCGCUGAGCUCACUGCCCAGGCUUUUGAUCCAGUAGGUCUCGGAUGGAGUCGGAGAACGUGCAUGUCUGACAAGCCCCCCGGGGAUGCUGAUGCAAGCGGUCCACUGAGAACCGAGAGUCGGACUAGACCUGGGUGUCAUUCCGGGCUUCGCCACUUACUAGCGGGGGGUCCCGGAGCUAAUUCCUUGACCUCAGCCUCCUCACUUGUAACGUGGGGACCUUUCUCUCAGUGCUGCGGGAAGCGUCAGAUACGAUGGCGCACGUGAGGACUCAGCACGGGGGCCCGGAUGUGGUGGGUGUGCGGGAAGGGGUGGCCACCCUCCGUGGCAUUUGUGUGCACCUAAGACCUGCCCGCAGUUCCCCGAUAUGGGGCCGGCGCUGCGGAGGGGGGCUGGGGGAUUACAGGGAGUAAGAACGAUAAUGAUGGACAAGGCACGAUCAUUUAGACCCGGGUUUGGAGAGCGUCCAGCUGCAGUACUCUAACAGAGGAAGGGAUCACAGUGGGUGCAGUGGGAGCCCGGGGGAGACCACGGUGACCACUCCCAGUAGUCAGGUGUCACUACGCGGAGGAGGUGCCAUGGGGGCUGCACCUCGAAGGUAAGCCUCCAUCCAUCCUGGAAGAGAGAAGGGCAUGCAGGCCAAGAACGCGGCUAGUGCCGUGAUUCUCCACUCUGACCACACACUGGGGUCACCCCAAACCCACCGGCACCCCAGAUCAAUGACUGAAUCUCUUGGAGAGUGGAGGGAGACAUGUGAAGUCUUGGAAGCUCCUUGGGUUUCAGAGUAUAGGCAAGGUUGAGAACCCCCAAGCAAAGCCUUGGAGGAAUGAAUUCACAUUCCUGCACAGGGAGGAAGCAGUGUAUAACCCAAGGCGGCUGGAAUGUGGGGCGCAGGCAGGCAAGAAAUGAAAGGCAGGAAGGCGGGCUGGGCCAUUUCCCAGAACUGCAGAAGAAUACCCACUAGCAAGUGAAAUAAGCCAAUGAUCAUGAGGUUGAAUUUGCAUAAAACUGCACGUUUGCCUUUUAACAGCCUCAAGAAGGGCGUGACUGAGAGAUUGGACACCGCCUGUAAAUACCUCCGUGUUUCAGAGGACAUACCUGAUUCUGUUUGGAAUCCUCUUUGAGGCUGGAAAGCCGCAAUCACUCAAUGAAUAUUUGUAGAACUGAGCGAACCUUGAACAGCCCUUCGGUCCCAUCGCUGAUCUCAUUUGAGUAGCCAGUCUGGAUUUACCUUUGAGUUCAAGGCGCCCUGCUGCAUCUGGGCCGCUGUGAUUUCAGGGAUGUUGAGAAACUCCAUGGAAACCCUAGUCCUGGUAGCUACUGCCUGAGAUCCCACUUUUGGGGCUAUUUAUGUCCUUCAGGGGUUGUCGCUCACAUCCUGUAAAUUCCAUUUCCUGAGGUGGGUCUUAAUGAGUUGAAGGGGCAGAAACCUAAUAGUUGGGGGGAAGAGGAGGAAAGAUCCAGAAAGGAAGAUCCAAGACCCAUCUGAGAUCUGGCCCUUGGCACUGGCCUGAACCCAAAGCAGACCAGAGAAGCUUCAAAAGAUAGGUGUUUCCUUUCUGUUCUAAUUGGAACCUCCCGGACUUUGUAUUGGGUUUUGCAUUUUUUGUGCUACCACUUACCCAGGGUCUGACUAAUUUUGUUAAUCACAGGAUUCCCAAGAUUCCCGCAAAGAAGCUGUCAAGAAACUUGGAUUCUCUGCAAUCAGACAUUUCUCAUGACCAACCAAGGAAAUGGGAAGACCUUUACAGUGCUCCAUGCAUGUGCCAACUAGUUCCUACACUGACUUGUGACAUCCUCUCCCCGGCCGGGGUCCCCAGGGGGGGUCACUCCAAGACAAGGAUUUGUGUGCAAGUGGGUUAUUCGGGGGUGAUCUCAAGGGGAAUGGAGAAACGACACGGAGAAGAAGGAGGGCCAAUGCAGGGGGUGCUGAUAAGUAACCGAGGCGCGAUUCCACUGGGGAGUGCCGACCCCUUCCUCCACCAACGAUCACCCAAGUCAACAUUUUCACAUGCCCGCUCAUUCAGGAGCCACUCUGGUGGGAACACGGGUCUACACAGAAUCGGGCAGUUGAACUAUCCCAGGCCCCCGUGAACACAGGUGACAGUCACGUUUCGUGGCACCAGUGUACCUUACAUGGGCUGAGAUUGGGCUGACCCCGCACACACGCAU
Molecule: long non-coding RNA, 4782 nt
Organism: Felis catus (domestic cat)
Lineage: Eukaryota; Metazoa; Chordata; Mammalia; Carnivora; Felidae
Exons: 3
Source: RefSeq, a predicted model, not a curated record